AUGCAGGUCCAGCUUUCACAACAACCUGAUAAACUGCGCUGGAAUCUCACUAGGUCGGGGGAAUUCACAGUUAAAUCCAUGUAUGUUGCUGUUAUCAACUCCAGCUCGAUUCCUACUUCCAAGCAUGUGUGGGAUGUCAAAGUUCCUUUGAAGAUUAAGGUGUUUAUGUGGUUUCUUCAUAAACAAGUCAUCUUAACAAAGGAUAAUUUAAAAAAGCGCAAUUGGACAGGUCCUACUAGGUGUAGUUUCUGUGAUCAGGGUGAAACCAUUAAGCAUUUAUUCCUUGAGUGCCCACUAGCUAGAAUUCUUUGGACAACUGUUCAUGUUGCUUUCAAUAUUACUCCACCAAAUUCGGUGAAUAUGAUGUUUGGAGCUUGGCUUAAUAGGGUAGAGCCCGGGUUAGCUAAACAUAUU
This 414-nucleotide ribosomal RNA is filed under the name Triticum aestivum (bread wheat). RNAcentral's name for it is "partial small subunit ribosomal RNA". Lineage: Eukaryota; Viridiplantae; Streptophyta; Magnoliopsida; Poales; Poaceae. The record is from RNAcentral.